ACCUCCAAUUAUUCAUACAUAUCAAAGGAGGGGCAGAAAAGUAAUUGGACAAAUUAAUAAUGAGGAAGGAAAAAGAGGAGGAGAUCGUGCAGGUGGGGCCCAGGCACAGAAAUAAGAGAAAGAUGAGAGAAGGAAUAUAAAUAGGUUUUUUAGGUCUAGGGGAGGUAGGUUUUAUUUUUAUCCUGAAGUUGGCGGCUGCUUAGCCUAGAGGAAUAUCCAGUCUUUCCCUAGAGGAAGCUGGGUUUGUCUUCAUUAUUCCUUGUUUUUCUUGAAUCUUUAUGUUUUUCUGUACUCAUUUUGGCUAUAUAUAAAUAAAGAUAGCAGAGGGCUACCUCUGUUUUUGGCCAUUGUAAGGGAGAAAUAGUGAAGUAAGCAAGUUGAAUCCUUACAUAUUGGUAUCAGAGCCUCCACACUGGGGGUGAUCACGCGUCUGAUGGCUCAAAGACAGAUAGAAGAACGGGUAGAAGGUACUGAAAAGGAAAUUAUGAGUCUGAAGGAGAUGAUGCUGGAAAUGAAGAAAUCGAUGGAUCGAAUGACAGACGAGCUAAGAGAAAACCAUGGUGCUAAGAAAAAAGAAGAAGCAGGGACUACGGACGACAUCAGGUUGAAACUGAAGGGAAAACUGGAAGAGGCCGGAACCACAGUCGAGUCGGGUGGAAGCAGCGCAGACCGAAGUAAGUACAAAAAAUUAGAAAUGCCACUGUUUACAGGGGUGAACCCUGAAUCCUGGGCGUACCGAGCAGAACAUUUUUUUGAUAUAAAUGACUUACCGGAAGCUGAGAAGGUCAAAGUAGCAGUCGUGAGUUUUGGACAGGAAGAGGUAGACUGGUUUAGAUGGAGUAAUCGUAGAAAGAGGGUGGAAUCUUGGGAGGACUUGAAGGAAAGGAUGUUUGAUUUCUUUAAUGAUACAGGACAGCAGAGCUUGGGGGCAAGAUUAAUCCGUAUUAAGCAAGAAGGCUCAUACAGCGAGUACGUUAAGAAGUUUGUUACAUACUCAGCCCCCCUCCCGGACAUGGCAGAAAGUGUUCUGCUGGAUGCGUUUUUAACGGGUCUGAAACCCUCACUGCAAGCGGAAGUAAUCAGCAGACACCCUCAAACUUUAGAGGAAUGUAUGAAGGAAGCUCAGCUGGUGAAUGAUAGGAAUAUAGCAUUAAAACUGGCGAUGGAAGAGUUGGAUAUAGUUGAGCCCAAAAGGAAUGAGAACAGCAGCAAAUUUCAAGGAAAAAAUGAGAAGACAGAAAGUAAAAAGACAGAGUUUGUGAUGAAGCAGGUAACUAUUCCAUUGAAAAAUGAUUACCAGAAAAAAGAUCCCCCAAUUAAACGGCUGUCGGAUACGGAAUUUAGAGCAAGGCUGGAUAAGGGGCUUUGUUUCAGAUGUAAUGAAAAGUACGCCCCAGGCCAUCGAUGUAAAGGGAGAGAAAAAAGAGAGUGGAUGCUCCUUAUACUAAAUGAGGAAGAAGACCACAAAAGGGAAGAGGAUACAGAGGAUGAGGCAAGCGAAGUAAUAGAACUGAAUCAUCUGGAAUUGAAUAUGGAUAACCCUAUUGAAUUGAGGUUGAUCACGGGAGUUACAUCAAAAGGGACGAUGAAAUUAAAAGGACAUGUGAACGGAAGGGAAGUAGUUAUUCUGAUUGACAGCGGGGCGACCAAUAACUUCAUCAGCCAAGUGUUGGUAGAUGAACUACAGCUGAGCAUCGAUCCGGGAACUCGUUUUGGAGUUACCAUUGGGAAUGGCAACCAAUGUGAAGGAAGUGGGAUUUGCAAGAGGGUGAAGGUGAAGUUAAAAGAGUUAACAAUCGUAGCAGAUUUCCUAGCGGUAGAGUUAGGAACGGUAGACUUGGUGCUUGGGAUGCAAUGGCUAGAUUCGACAGGAACCAUGAAGGUUCACUGGCCAUCCCUAACCAUGACGUUUUGGAUGAAGGGUAGAAGAAUAAUCCUAAAAGGUGACCCUUCUCUAACGAAGUCAGAAUGUUCAUUGAGAACCUUAGAGAAAACGUGGCAAUCCGGGGACCAAGGAUUCCUCUUGGAAUUCGAAAACUAUGAAGUAAACUAUGAAGGAGAAUCGGAAACAGAAGCUGAAUUGAAGGGAAAGGAAGAAGGAUUACCCAUGGUUCAGCGAUUGCUCGAGCAAUAUGCAGAUGUCUUUAGGUUGCCCACGGGUUUACCGCCAAGGAGAGCCAUAGACCAUCGCAUUCUGACCGUGGCCGAUCAGAAACCAAUUAAUGUAAGACCAUAUAAGUAUGGCCAUGUACAAAAGGAAGAGAUUGAAAAAUUGGUGUUAGAAAUGUUACAAGCUGGGGUGAUUCGUCCAAGCCGCAGCCCAUAUUCGAGCCCGGUCCUCUUAGUGAAGAAAAAAGAUGGAGGGUGGAGAUUUUGUGUAGAUUACAGGAAACUCAAUCAAGUAACGGUGGCUGAUAAAUUUCCAAUUCCCGUGAUCGAAGAACUCUUAGAUGAACUUCAUGGUGCGACAGUUUUCUCAAAGUUAGACCUUAAAUCUGGAUACCACCAGAUUAGGAUGAGGGAGGAAGAUGUGGAGAAAAUAGCUUUCCGCACGCAUGAAGGACAUUAUGAGUUCUUGGUGAUGCCUUUCGGCCUUACGAAUGCUCCUGCCACCUUCCAAUCUCUCAUGAACGAGGUGUUCAAACCAUUCCUUCGAAGGUGUGUCCUGGUUUUUUUUUAUGACAUUCUAGUUUAUAGUGUGGACAUAGAUGAGCACAUGAAACAUUUAGGAAUGGUUUUUGCUAUCUUGAGGGACCAUGAAUUGUUUGCAAAUAGGUCUAAAUUUGUCAUUGCUCAUUCCCAAGUUCAAUAUUUGGGUCAUCUGAUUUCCAGCAGAGGAGUGGAGGCUGAUGAGGACAAGAUUCGCAGUAUGGUAAAUUGGCCACGGCCGAAAGAUAUAACUGGGCUGAGGGGAUUCCUUGGACUGACUGGGUAUUAUAGAAGAUUUGUGAAAAGCUAUGGAGAAAUAGCUGCACCCUUAACCAAAUUACUUCAGAAAAAUGCAUUCCAUUGGAAUAAGGAAGCUACAAUAGCGUUUGACCAGCUGAAGCUAGCAAUGACAACCUUACCGGUAUUAGCAUUGCCGGAUUGGUCUCAGCCCUUCACAAUCGAAACUGAUGCUUCAGGAGUAGGUUUAGGUGCAGUUUUAUCACAGAAUGGUCAUCCCAUCGCAUUCUUCAGCAAGAAACUGUCCCCAAGAGCCCAGGGUAAGUCGAUCUAUGAAAGGGAAUUGAUGGCGGUUGUCCUUUCGGUGCAAAAAUGGAGACAUUAUCUCCUGGGCAGAAAGUUCACAAUUGUUUCAGAUCAGAAGGCUCUGAAAUUUCUGUUAGAACAGAGGGAAGUUCAGCCUCAAUUCCAAAAGUGGCUCACAAAACUUUUGGGGUAUGACUUUGAGAUCUUAUACCAGCCGGGUCUGCAGAAUAAGGUGGCGGAUGCUCUCUCAAGGAAGGACCAUUCGGUGGAGUUAAAUACAAUGACAACCACAGGCAUAGUUGAUAUAGAGAUAAUAGCGAAGGAAGUUGAAAUGGAUCAAUAACUUCAGAAAAUUAUUGCCGAACUUAAGGGAGAGGUGGAUCAAGGUGGGAAAUACCAGUGGAACAAUGGCAGGCUGCUAUAUAAAGGAAGGAUGGUGCUGCCGCGAAAUUCCUCCCUCAUUCCGAGUCUUCUACACACGUUCCAUGAUUCCAUAUUAGGAGGGCACUCGGGAUUCUUGAGAACCUAUAAAAGAAUGAGUGGGGAACUAUUUUGGAAAGGAAUGAAGGCUGAUAUCAAGAGAUAUGUAGAAGAAUGUGACACUUGUCAACGUAAUAAGUUCGAAGCUACAAAGCCUGCGGGAGUUCUGCAACCCAUUCCUAUCCCCGACAAGAUAUUGGAGGAUUGGACCAUGGAUUUUAUUGAAGGGCUGCCAAUAGCAGGAGGUUACAACGUGAUUAUGGUAGUCGUCGACCGCCUAAGUAAGUACUCCUACUUCUUGUCUCUGAAACACCCGUACACAGCCAAGCAAGUGGCUUCAAUUUUUUUGGAAAAAGUGGUCAGCAAACAUGGAAUACCCAAGUCCAUUAUUACCGACCGUGAUAAGAUCUUCCUUAGCAAUUUCUGGAAGGAGUUGUUCACUACCAUGGGCACCAUUUUGAAGAGAAGCACGACAUUCCAUCCCCAAACCGAUGGACAAAUCGAGAGGGUAAACAGAUGCCUAGAGACCUAUUUGAGAUGCUUUUGCAAUGAACAACCGAAGAAAUGGGAUAAACUGAUCCCUUGGGCGGAAUUAUGGUAUAACACAACCUUCCACGCAUCCACCAAAACUACUCCUUACCAAUCUGUUUUUGGAAGAACUCCCCCGCCACUGCUGUCAUAUGGAUGGAAGCAAUCUCCUAACAAUGACGUAGAAGUCAUGUUGAAGGAGAGAGAUUUAGCACUCAAUGCACUGAAGGAAAACCUAUGCAUAGCUCAAAAUAGAAUGAAGAAAAUGGCAGACCGAAACCGCAGGGAGCUCAAAUUCAAAAUUGGGGAUGAAGUGUAUUUGAAACUACGACCCUAUCGACAAAGAUCACUAGCUCGGAAGAAAUGUGAAAAGCUAUCCCCAAAAUUUUAUGGGCCGUAUGAGGUUAUUGAAGAGAUAGGAGAGGUCGCUUAUCGAUUGCAACUACCGCCCGAGGCCGCCAUUCACAAUGUCUUUCACGUGUCUCAACUGAAACUGAAGUUGGGAAAACAACAUGUAGUCCAGCAACAACAGCCUAUACUAACUGAGGAUUUUGAACUACAAUUGUGGCCGGAAAACGUGCUGGGAAUAAGGUGGAACAAGGAGCUAAGAGGCAAUGAGUGGCUGAUCAAAUGGAAGAACUUACCAGACAGUGAAGCAACGUGGGAAUCAGUUUACCUAUUGAAUCAGCAGUUCCCUCAGUUUCACCUUGAGGACAAGGUGAACUUGGAGCCUCGGGGUAUUGUAAGACCUCUAAUUAUUCAUACAUAUCAAAGGAGGGGCAGAAAAGUAAUUGGACAAAUUAAUAAUGAGGAAGGAAAAAGAGGAGGAGAUCGUGCAGGUGGGGCCCAGGCACAGAAAUAAGAGAAAGAUGAGAGAAGGAAUAUAAAUAGGUUUUUUAGGUCUAGGGGAGGUAGCUUUUAUUUUUAUCCUGAAGUUGGCGGCUGCUUAGCCUAGAGGAAUAUCCAGUCUUUCCCUAGAGGAAGCUGGGUUUUGAUAGAACUAAGUCGUGCACAGCGGAAAAAGAAUCGAUUUUCUACCCUAAUUGCCACAAUUAACAUGUAACCAUAAACUAAUCAAAUUAGGGUUUUAAGAAGUAUUACCUUUGAAGCUUUCAAAAGGUUUGAUGUCUUCUUACCAAUUCUACCCGAGACCACCACUAGUACUCAACUGUUAUCCUCUAGACAAAGAACCGGGUUGUGGGACCCAAUUUUGGUGUAGAAAGUAAUGGAGAUAAAAUGAGAUUGGAAGCUUUCUUUUUUCUUUUGUUGAGAUUAUGAAAAAUGAUAAAAGAGGCAAAAGUUCUUCAACAUUUGAAAACAUCUCUAUUUAUAGCCUAAUUACAUGCAAAAAUGCAUGCAAUUCAAUUGCCAAAUCUCAACACCUAAUAUUCCACUAACAAUUAGUGGAACUUAGUGGGCUAGGUGUCUAUA
Molecule: long non-coding RNA, 5631 nt
Filed under: Cucumis sativus (cucumber)
Lineage: Eukaryota; Viridiplantae; Streptophyta; Magnoliopsida; Cucurbitales; Cucurbitaceae
Description: long non-coding RNA (CSAT_LNC000704)
Source: RNAcentral